CCUACGGGGGGCAGCAGUCGAGAAUCAUUCACAAUGGGGGAAACCCUGAUGGUGCGACGCCGCGUGGGGGAAUGAAGGUCUUCGGAUUGUAAACCCCUGUCAUGUGGGAGCAAAUUAAAAAGAUAGUACCACAAGAGGAAGAGACGGCUAACUCUGUGCCAGCAGCCGCGGUAAUACAGAGGUCUCAAGCGUUGUUCGGAAUCACUGGGCGUAAAGCGUGCGUAGGCUGUUUCGUAAGUCGUGUGUGAAAGGCGCGGGCUCAACCCGCGGACGGCACAUGAUACUGCGAGACUAGAGUAGUGGAGGGGGAAGCGGAAUUCUCGGUGUAGCAGUGAAAUGCGUAGAUAUCGGGAGGAACACUCGUGGCGAAGGCGGGUUCCUGGACAUUAACUGACGCUGAGGCACGAAGGCCAGGGGAGCGAAAGGGAUUAGAUACCCUUGUAGUC
RNAcentral lists this ribosomal RNA (446 nucleotides) under uncultured bacterium. RNAcentral describes it as "partial 16S ribosomal RNA". It matches the Rfam family "Bacterial small subunit ribosomal RNA", at positions 338 to 795 of the family's 1533-position model. The record is from RNAcentral.